Molecule: ribosomal RNA, 403 nt
Filed under: Verrucomicrobiota bacterium
Lineage: Bacteria; Pseudomonadati; Verrucomicrobiota
Description: Verrucomicrobia bacterium partial 16S ribosomal RNA
Rfam family: Bacterial small subunit ribosomal RNA
Source: RNAcentral
UGGGGAAUAUUGCGCAAUGGGGGCAACCCUGACGCAGCAACGCCGCGUGCGGGACGACGGCCUUCGGGUUGUAAACCGCUUUCAGCAGGGAAGAUAGUGACGGUACCUGCACAAGAAGCCCCGGCUAACUAGGUGCCAGCAGCCGCGGUAAUACGUAGGGGGCGAGCGUUAUCCGGAUUCAUUGGGCGUAAAGCGCGCGCAGGCGGCUCUUCAAGCGGAACCUCUAACCCCGGGGCUCAACCUCGGGCCGGGUUCCGAACUGGAGGGCUCGAGUGCGGUAGAGGCAGGCGGAAUUCCCGGUGUAGCGGUGGAAUGCGCAGAUAUCGGGAAGAACACCGAUGGCGAAGGCAGCCUGCUGGGCCGGCACUGACGCUGAGGCGCGAAAGCUAGGGGAGCGAACAGG